Molecule: long non-coding RNA, 375 nt
Filed under: Brassica rapa (field mustard)
Lineage: Eukaryota; Viridiplantae; Streptophyta; Magnoliopsida; Brassicales; Brassicaceae
Description: long non-coding RNA (BRAP_LNC002395)
Source: RNAcentral
AGAAGGGGGAAAGCAUAGAAUAAUGAAGAAAUCGCAGUAAUAUCAACCAUGAUAACAUUUGGCGGUCAUAUUAUUCCAUAUUUCAAAAGUAGUUUAUGUGGUCCAAGUCAUAAAAGAACUUAGUUUGUGAGCAAGAAAAUGUAGCGAAAGUCAAGAAAGCUAUUGGACGAUGAUGGAAAGAGGUGAGAACUAAGGGUGGUUAAAGUUUGCGUCACAAGGAGGCUAAUGGAUCUUCUUAUUCACCUUUUGACAAUUCUUUUUUUCUUAACUACUAUCCUCAGGAAUGUGAUGGGAGAUUAUCAUUUUGUUUGAAUGUGUUAGAAAAGGAGAUUAACUGAAUAAUGAUUUUGAAGAUUCAAAUCAGUAAAACUGCAC